RNAcentral lists this ribosomal RNA (465 nucleotides) under Vreelandella stevensii. RNAcentral's name for it is "partial 16S ribosomal RNA". It matches the Rfam family "Bacterial small subunit ribosomal RNA", at positions 338 to 795 of the family's 1533-position model. The record is from RNAcentral. Lineage: Bacteria; Pseudomonadati; Pseudomonadota; Gammaproteobacteria; Oceanospirillales; Halomonadaceae.
CCUACGGGAGGCUGCAGUGGGGAAUAUUUGACAAUGGGGGCAACCCUGAUCCAGCCAUGCCGCGUGUGUGAAGAAGGCCCUCGGGUUGUAAAGCACUUUCAGUGAGGAAGAACGCCUGGUGGUUAAUACCCAUCAGGAAAGACAUCACUCACAGAAGAAGCACCGGCUAACUCCGUGCCAGCAGCCGCGGUAAUACGGAGGGUGCGAGCGUUAAUCGGAAUUACUGGGCGUAAAGCGCGCGUAGGUGGCUUGAUAAGCCGGUUGUGAAAGCCCCGGGCUCAACCUGGGAACGGCAUCCGGAACUGUCAAGCUAGAGUGCAGGAGAGGAAGGUAGAAUUCCCGGUGUAGCGGUGAAAUGCGUAGAGAUCGGGAGGAAUACCAGUGGCGAAGGCGGCCUUCUGGACUGACACUGACACUGAGGUGCGAAAGCGUGGGUAGCAAACAGGAUUAGAUACCCUUGUAGUC